CUCCCCAGGCUCCCUAGCCGAGGGGACCACAUGCUGCUCCCACACGCUCCCCCCCACCCCCCCGCAGCCGGUGAUGGUGGCCGCAGUCCCCGUGCCGCUGAGGUGACUCCCAGCAUGUGGUCUGCAGUCCCAUCUGGGCCCCGCGGCUUCCUGACUGUGCCUUGACCUCCAGGUCUGCACCAGAAGCCAGCGGUGUGAACAGUACUUUCCUUGGGUGCCCGGGAGAUUUGCAUGCAAAACCCUACAUAGGUGCCGGGGCAGAGUGGCGCGGCAGCUUGUCUAUCCGCUUUUACCGCGGUGGGGACAGAUGGACAGAUGGGUCAGGAUACACACAGCCCACGCUGGUCACCCUGCCCCCACACGGCCCCGAGGAGGAGGUGGCUCCACACUCCGGCCUCUGUGUACCCCAGCUGGCUUCACUGCUGUUCGCUUCCCCACCCCGGAACCCUCCAACUUCACAAAGCUCCUAACCAGCCACGCCACCCUCCACGGUCUUGAUCAGGCAGUCCAGAGGAUGGCCUAAAGAAAUCUGCUCCCAACGGGCCUGGGGGACCGAGUGUGAUGCCACACGCCUGAAAUCUCAGCAUUGCCGAGGCUGUGGCAGGAAGAUCCCCGCGAGCUCGAGGCCCGCCUGUACUACACAGUGAGUUCAAGGCCAGCCUGAACUACAGAGAGAGAGAGAGGUUUUUUCCAUGGCAACUCCAGUGAGUCACAGACAUCCACGACAUCCAGGGCUGAGGGAUGUGUCCUGUCCGAAAUGCAACUCCCCGGACUCCUGUCUUUGGCCUGAGAAGCACAAUCUUAAAGCACAAUCUUCGGGGAGACAGCCAAGUGGGAGGCACGCGGGUCCCCGUCCCCAGAAGGGCCUGCUUCCUGUGUCUUCGUGGGCCCCAGCACCCAUUCCAAGUUGUUGUCCUUUUGUUAUGUUUUGCUCCCCUGCUCUGCUGGGGUUCCCCACCCCGAAUCCCAGGGGAUGUAUUUACACUAACAAAUUCCUGGCUGUUUAUCUGACAUUCAAACGCCA
Long non-coding RNA from Cavia porcellus (domestic guinea pig), 1024 nucleotides. RefSeq lists it as uncharacterized. Lineage: Eukaryota; Metazoa; Chordata; Mammalia; Rodentia; Caviidae. The record is from RefSeq and is a predicted model, not a curated record. The transcript is spliced from 2 exons.